UACGAAGGGGGCUAGCGUUGCUCGGAAUCACUGGGCGUAAAGGGUGCGUAGGCGGGUCUUUAAGUCAGGGGUGAAAUCCCUGGGCUCAACCUGGGAAUGGCAGUGGAUACUGGACGGCUAGAAUGCGGUAGAGGGUAGUGGAAUUCCCGGUGUAGCAGUGAAAUGCGUAGAGAUCGGGAGGAACACCAGUGGCGAAGGCGACACGCUGGGCCGUACCUGACACUGAACCGCGACAGCAUGGGGAGCAAACAGG
This 253-nucleotide ribosomal RNA is filed under the name uncultured bacterium. RNAcentral's name for it is "partial 16S ribosomal RNA". It matches the Rfam family "Bacterial small subunit ribosomal RNA", at positions 524 to 776 of the family's 1533-position model. The record is from RNAcentral.